RNAcentral lists this ribosomal RNA (253 nucleotides) under uncultured bacterium. Its description in RNAcentral is "partial 16S ribosomal RNA". It matches the Rfam family "Bacterial small subunit ribosomal RNA", at positions 524 to 776 of the family's 1533-position model. The record is from RNAcentral.
UACGUAGGUGACCAGCGUUGUCCGGAUUUACUGGGCGUAAAGAGCGCGCAGGCGGUCGUUCAAGUCGAGUGUGAAAGCCCCCGGCUCAACUGGGGAGGGUCACUCGAUACUGAUCGACUUGAAGGCAGGAGAGGGAAGCGGAAUUCCUGGUGUAGCGGUGAAAUGCGCAGAUAUCAGGAGGAACACCGGUGGCGAAGGCGGGUCUCUGGGCCGAUACUGACGCUGAGGAGCGAAAGCGUGGGGAGCGAACAGG